GCAACCAAAUGCUAAUGAAACUAAUGAAGGUAACAUAACACAAUCUACUGCACAUCCUAAGUUGAAAUCUAGGAGUGGGGUUUGGGUUCACUUUGAGAAAUUGAUUAAUUCUGAGGGUAGUGAGAUUGGUAGGGCUCAAUGUGUGUGGCGUAAAAAAGAUCUAAACUGUAAGAGUGAAGGUGGCACUUUGGGAAUGUGGAAGCAUUUGAGGGAAUCUUGUAAAAAGUACCCAUAUAAAAAAGAUUUAAAUAAAGAAAAGUCUCAAAGAACCUUGUCUUUUCAUAAGGGUUCUGGGGGUGAGGAUGUUAAGUUGACUUCCUGGCAAUUUGAUCAAGAUACUUGUAGGGAGGCUUUAGUUAAGAUGAUAAUCAGAGAUGAACUUCCUUUUAGGUUUGUUGAGAAGGAAGGGUUUAUAGAGUUCUUACAAGUUGCUGUGCCACAAUUCAAAAUUCCAUCUACAUAUACAAUGGCAAGAGAUUGCUAUCAGUUGUUUAUCUAUGAGAAAAAGAAGUUGUCUACAUUCAUUGCAUCUCAAUGUCAAAGGGUUUCUUUAACCACAGACACAUGGAUUAGUGUUCAAAACUUUUCUUACUUUUGUUUGACUGCUCAUUUUAUUGAUUCUAAAUAGAAAAUGCAAAAACACAUCCUGAAUUUCACUGUUAUUAAGAGUCAUGAAGGGGUUAAUAUUGGUAAUGCCAUUGAUUUUUGCAUGGAGGAGUGGGUUGUGUCUAAGGUAAUGCGCAUCACUGUUGACAAUGCAUCUUCUAAUGAUUCUGUUAUUUCACAAUUGAAGAAAGGGCUACUUAAGAAAAAUGCAUUUGUAUUGAGUUGGGGGUGCAUUUCAUAUGAGAUGUUGUGCUCAUAUCAUUCAAUUAGUUGUGAGGGAUGGACUUGAUGCUAUGCAAGGUUCUAUUAAAAGGAUUAAAGAUGUGGUGAAAUAUAUAAGGAGCAGUCCACAAUGCUCUGAAAUGUUUAAGAAGUGUUUUCAAUUGGCAGGACUCAAGUCUAAAUGCUCUUUGCAAUUAGAUUGUCCAACUAGAUGGAAUUCGACAUAUUUAAUGUUGGAAUCUGCACUGACAUAUCAGAAAGCCUUUGAUAGAUUAAAGGAUAUAGACAAUCGAUUUCGAGUUGAAUUUGGGGAUGGGUUGCCUAGUGAAUUUGAUUGGCAUAAUGCUAGGAUUCUUUGCAAAUUCCUUAAGAAAUUCUAUGAUAUCACUUGCAAGUUGUCUGGGUGUUUGUAUUCCACAUCUAGCAUUUACUUUCUUGAGAUUGAUAAGUGCAUAAUUAAUAUUUUUACUCCCAUUACAUUUAGUAUUUCUAGUGUAUUUUUAUGCCUAA
This 1338-nucleotide unclassified non-coding RNA is filed under the name Hevea brasiliensis (rubber tree). Lineage: Eukaryota; Viridiplantae; Streptophyta; Magnoliopsida; Malpighiales; Euphorbiaceae. The record is from RNAcentral.